CCUACGGGAGGCAGUAGUGAGGAAUAUUGGUCAAUGGCCGGAAGGCUGAACCAGCCAUGCCGCGUGAAGGUCAGUGCCCUAUGGGCGUUAAACCUCUUUUGUGCGGGAGCAAUAAUGGUCACGUGUGGCCAGACGAGAGUACCGUACGAAUAAGCAUCGGCUAACCUCGUGCCAGCAGCCGCGGUAAUACGGGGGAUGCAAGCGUUAUCCGGAUUUAAUGGGUUUAAAGGGUGCGUAGGCUGGGAGGUAAGUCAGCGGUGAAAUGCUUCCGGUCAAAGGGGUGAAGUGCCAUUGAUACUGGCAUGCUGGAGUGCAGAUGCGGUAGGAGGAAUGUGUGGUGUAGCGGUGAAAUGCAUAGAUAUCACGCAGAACACCGAUUGCGAAGGCAUCUCACGAGACCGCGAUUGACGCUGAUGCACGAAAGCGUGGGUAUCAAACAGGAUUAGAUACCCGAGUAGUC
RNAcentral lists this ribosomal RNA (460 nucleotides) under uncultured bacterium. RNAcentral describes it as "partial 16S ribosomal RNA". It matches the Rfam family "Bacterial small subunit ribosomal RNA", at positions 338 to 795 of the family's 1533-position model. The record is from RNAcentral.